CCCUUAGAUGUCCUGGGCUGCACGCGCGCUACACUGAUGUGUCCAGUAAGCACCUAACCUCUUCCGAAAGGAACGGGUAACCUUUGCAAAGCACAUCGUGAUGGGGAUAGAUUAUUGCAAUUAUUAGUCUUGAACGAGGAAUUCCUAGUAAGCACAAGUCAUCAGCUUGUGUUGAUUACGUCCCUGCCCUUUGUACACACCGCCCGUCGCUCCUACCGAUUGAAUGCUCAGGUGAGCCAUUCGGACUUUCAUCAUGCUGGUUUCCAGUUUUGAUGAAGGAAAGUCUUGCGAACCUUAUCAUUUAGAGGAAGGAGAAGUCGUAACA
Molecule: ribosomal RNA, 325 nt
Filed under: uncultured eukaryote
Lineage: Eukaryota
Description: partial 18S ribosomal RNA
Rfam family: Eukaryotic small subunit ribosomal RNA
Source: RNAcentral